RNAcentral lists this ribosomal RNA (608 nucleotides) under uncultured bacterium. RNAcentral describes it as "bacterial SSU rRNA". It matches the Rfam family "Bacterial small subunit ribosomal RNA", at positions 110 to 753 of the family's 1533-position model. The record is from RNAcentral.
GUAACACGUGGGAACCUUCCUAGGGGUACGGAACAACUCAGGGAAACUUGGGCUAAUACCGUAUACGUCCGUGAGGAGAAAGAUUUAUCGCCCUUAGACGGGCCCGCGUCGGAUUAGCUAGUUGGUGGGGUAACGGCCUACCAAGGCGACGAUCCGUAGCUGAUCUUAGAGGAUGAUCAGCCACACUGGGACUGAGACACGGCCCAGACUCCUACGGGAGGCAGCAGUGGGGAAUCUUGGACAAUGGGCGCAAGCCUGAUCCAGCCAUGCCGCGUGAGUGAAGAAGGUCUUCGGAUUGUAAAGCUCUUUUGCCAGGGACGAUAAUGACGGUACCUGGAGAAUAAGCCCCGGCAAACUUCGUGCCAGCAGCCGCGGUAAUACGAAGGGGGCUAGCGUUGUUCGGAAUUACUGGGCGUAAAGCGCACGUAGGCGGGUCGUUAAGUCAGGGGUGAAAUCCCGGAGCUCAACUCCGGAACUGCCUUUGAUACUGGCGAUCUAGAGAUCGGAAGAGGUGAGUGGAAUUCCCAGUGUAGAGGUGAAAUUCGUAGAUAUUGGGAAGAACACCAGUGGCGAAGGCGGCUCACUGGUCCGAUACUGACGCUGAGGUG